Molecule: long non-coding RNA, 872 nt
Filed under: Equus asinus (donkey)
Lineage: Eukaryota; Metazoa; Chordata; Mammalia; Perissodactyla; Equidae
Description: lncRNA (ENSEASG00005032512.1)
Source: RNAcentral
AAGACCCUCUAGGGUCCACCAGAAGGCCCUAGUCUGAGAAUGCGCUGGCUGGGGGCUGAGCAAAACUCUGCCCCAGAAUGUCUCCCCUGAGUGGCCAGAAAUUCCCGAAAGAUCUCUUGGGAGUGUUUGAUGAGUCACAUAUGUCAGCAAAGCUGAGAGGCAGCACUCGGUUAGACACCUGAGCUCUGCGGGGGACUGCCUGGGCAUGACCUUCAUUCUGCCGCUUUCUAAUUGGACCAUCUUAAAUACGGGGCUCCAGCACUCCAUGCCUGAUUUCCUCAUCUGAAAGGGUCCAGGAGCACCAUUCACAUUGAGUGUGACAGGCGCGUCAUCCCUGGAGGUGGGUAGCGCUGUGGCCCUCUUGCUGAGAACCGAAGCAAUGUUGAGAUCUGCUAGGAACUGUGAGAAGCAAGAAGAACUUAACCUGAUUCCUGGCACUUUAAUCAAAAAUGCACUAGAAAUGUUUAUUGUAAAAACAACGGAAGGCCUGUUUCCAGGAUGAUCUGGCAGCUGCACGGAGGCUGGUUUGGGUGUUGAGGACCAGCUUCCUGGCGCCAGAAUCCACCAUCCACCACAGAAGCAGACAACCAAGGACAUCCACCUGUAGCGAGGAGGAUCUGGCCAUCCUCCUCGCUACAAGCAGCCUCACAAGGCCAAACACAGGCUGGUGGGAAAGCACCCAGCAGCAAGGCUGCAGGCUCCCCUUCACUACAAGCAGCUGCAUUCCUUGCUACCUUUCAAACCCCUUGCCUCCCAUCUUUUGGGGAGAUGAGACAAACAUGUCUUCUGGUUGAUGUCACCCAAAAUAAAAACUCUUUCCUUGCCAUAAGCCUGGCGUUCCAGUUUUUAUUUAGCCCCUCUUGUGUAGGGGG